UAGUAAGAGGAAAAUCCGUCGACUUUUGAAAUCGUGAGGGUUCAAGUC
Molecule: transfer RNA, 48 nt
Filed under: Leptopyrum fumarioides
Lineage: Eukaryota; Viridiplantae; Streptophyta; Magnoliopsida; Ranunculales; Ranunculaceae
Also listed under: 13 other names
Description: partial tRNA-Leu
Source: RNAcentral